RNAcentral lists this long non-coding RNA (4792 nucleotides) under Taeniopygia guttata (zebra finch). RNAcentral describes it as "lncRNA (ENSTGUG00000019834.1)". The record is from RNAcentral. Lineage: Eukaryota; Metazoa; Chordata; Aves; Passeriformes; Estrildidae.
UUUUUUUGACAUUUUAAUUAUAGGUGACACUCUCCAUGGCCCAGAGGAAAUCUUUGUUGUUCCAAAAGUACAAACAGUGCACCCAGGACAAGAAAUCUCAGUCCAGCUGUGCUGCACGGACUCACAAUUUUUCCUUUCAUGAGGAAUUCUGAUCGCACAAGCCUUUCUACUCCCAAAGAAUCACAGGGAACAGCUUCCUCUCAACCCUACAGAAUGUGGGCACAAAUUGUGGGACCAAGUAAGCCUAACAUCGAGUGUGGUCUAUCCUACAGAGGAGAGAAGAUCCACCUCCCAGGGAUGCUGGACACUGGUGCGGAUGUGACCAUCAUUGCUCACUCGGAAUGGCCGGCACACUGGGAACUACAACUGGUGCAAUUACACUGCUCAGGUGAUCUCUGCAUCCUCUCUCCACCCCAAAGUAUUACCCAAGGGAACGUUUCUCAUCUGUGGUAACCGACUAUGGGCUGGGAACCCCUCACGGCUCCAGGGAGGUCCCUGUAGCCUUGGAAAACUUUCUACCCUUACUCCAAAUAUCACCUUGUUAUGUAAUUGGAAAAAAGAAAGCAAAUUAAAACACUACAAAAGAUCCUACACAGAAUUUGAUGAAAAUUCCAAUCCAAAAUUAUAUGAUGGAACAAACCAAAAAAGAUUGCAGUCUCCCUCUUCCUACCCUGGGUAGCUGCAGCCCUUGGUGAAAUAAAUCACUUAGGGUGCUGGCUCAGUAAGUAAGCCAAUGCUACCUCUGCCACCCUAAGUGAUCUUUUAAAGGAAGAAGAAACCACGAGACUUCCUACUGCUAGCCCACGGACAUGGCUGCCAAGACUUUGAAGGGAUGCGUUGCAUCAAUCUCCCUUCACGCUCAGAAUCCAUCCACGCAAACAUCCAGAAACUGAAGGAACUUGUGAAGGACUUAAAAGUAGAAAACAACCCAGACUGGGUCAAUGACCUUUUCGGUCAGAGGGGAUUAAUGGGAUGGGUUGCAUCUUUGGUUAAGGGAAUUUUGUGGAUUUUCAUUGUAAUUGUCAUUGUGUUAGCUAUGUUCUCAUGCCUUGUCCACUGUUUUAAAAGAACUAUAGGGCACGCCUUUUUACUAAAUACAGAAAGUGGAGUUGCAGCAGUCAGAGGCCCUGCAAGGCCUCCCUGGCGGUCACUCACCUAAGAUAAGAAAUGCCUAAGUCACGGUGACUGGACCAAAGAAGCCCCUCUUCUGCAUUCAGACCCUUCUUAUCUCUCUGUAAGGCUAUUGGUCGUAUUCUCCUCAACUCUGGCGACUGGACAAUUUCCAACACACCCCAGUACCCCAUAUAAACACCCAUUUCUGCCCAGUUUGGCAGAAGAACUGUCACUGCAUCCCUUCAGAGGAGCUGGCAAUAAAGGACAUCGCUGUGGAACCGCAUACAGCCUUUUCCUCUCUCUAUCCCUGUGUGUCUGCCAGAGGCACUUGUGAGCACAGAGCGAAAUCACCGAGAGCUGAACUCACAGAGCUGAAAUCACUCCAGAGGUGCUCGCUAAGUUGCCUGUGGCUGGGAGCUGAGCCGAGGGACCCAGACAGGCUGAGCCUGACAGCGCAGCGCUAUCCGGACACCCACGGCAGCGGCAGCCCGGGGGUCAGAUGGACCCCUGGGACCCCAGGCUGCAUUAACCAGGAGUGACUGGGAUCACAGAGGAACCAUAAAGGAAGUUACUGCAAUAAUACUGGGACUAUCUGGGAGUGACUGGAAUCAUACUGGGAGUGACUGGAAUCAUACUGGGUGACUUGGAGUGACUGGGACCUUACUGGGAGCAAAUGGUACCAUAAUGAGAGUGACUGGGUUCAUACUGGGAUCAUACUGGGAAGGACUGGAACCAUACUGGGAGUGCCUGGAACUAUUAUAGGGGUGAAUGGGAACACCUGGGAACAUGCUGGGAUCAUGCUGGGAUCACACUGGGAGUGACCAGGAUGAUACUGGGAUCACACUGAGUGUAACUGGAAGUGACUGGGACCAUACUGGGGGUGACUGGGAGCCACAGGGCCCAUGCUGGGAGUGGCCUGGGGGGAGCUGGGGGAACUGGCCCAGCUGGGGCUCAGGGUUGUUCUCCCCCAGGGCUGCCCCAGGUCCUGCUGCCACCCCUGGCCCCACAGAGCUGAGGGACAGGGCACAGCUGAGGGACAGGGGACAGGGACAGGGCACAGCUGAGGGACAGGGCACAGCCAGGGAACACGGCCUGGCCGAGGGACACUGAGCCCCAGCACUUUGGGCUGUUGCCCUUGGGCUCCCAGCACAGGCCCAGGGGCAGAAUCCCCUCCAGAAACUGCUGUUUGCUUUCAGCUCUGCUCUGGAACAUUCCCCAGGAGCCCCUGCAGUGGCUGCAGCCCAGCCGGGUGCCCGGGGCCACCAAAGCCGCUCCGGCAGUGCCCUCCUGCCCCGGGCAGGGCACGGAACACCCAAGGAAAGGCUCGUGCUGGGCUCAGGGCAGGGACAGGGCACUCCCCUGGUGCUGCCACGGGCACAGCAGAGCCGGCCUGGGCAAAGGAUUGGGAUCAAUGUCCCAUGGAAUCCCAGCAGGGAUUACUUCUCAUUGCACUGCUCUCAUUGGAUUGGUUAUCAAUUCCAAUCAUUUCCCCAUGGAAUUCCCAUGGCAGUGGGUUAGGGGGGGUCCAUCCAUGGAAUUCUCACCUGACUGGGAUGAGAGUGAGAUCUGGCCAUGGAAAUUCCAUGGCAAUUCCUGCAUUCCCAAGUCCCCCAUUCCUGAAUCCCCCAUUCCCAUAGGAAUUGCCCUUCCCUUCCCACACCCACCUUUGUGCUCCAGAGCCUCCCGACCAUAUCUGAUGUAUUUUGGGGGCCUUUCCACACAGGUGUGUCCCAGGUAAUGCUUCAUCUGCUCCACCAUGAUCCCUCUGGAUUCCCAGCACCUCUGGGAUAUCCAGACGGCACUGUUGGACACUGCAAAGCUCCUGGAUCCCAGCUGGAAGGAGAUGAAAUCCCAGCCCUCAUAGCCGUACUGGUGGGAUCCAUGGAUGCUCUGUUGGACAGGAGGUCACAGCUGGAAACCCCCUGCACUGUGUGGAGACCUGGGAACGAGGAGAGAACAGACCCAUGGAGUCGUGUCCCAGCCCCAGGGAGCCCCUUGGAGCUCCCUGGAUUCCCAUCCCAGCCCCACAGAUCCCCCCCAUCCCCAGAGAUCCCAUCCCAGCCCCUCAGAGUCCUCCAUUCCCACAGAUCCCAGCCCAGCCCCGGCUCCCCCCACUGCCCCUGCUCUGGUUGUACCGGCCCCGUCUCCAGGUCACUGUCAGCCACGGGCCAGUUCCUGUCCUUGAGCAGGGUCUGGCUGUCCCAAAAUCCCAGCUCUGGUUAUCCCAAUGUCCCAGCUCUGGCUGUCCCAGUAUCCCAGCUCUGGCUAUCCCAAUAUCCCAGCUCUGGCUGUCCCAGUAUCCCAGCUCUGGCUAUCCCAAUAUCCCAGUUCUGGCCAUUCCAAUGUCCCAGCUCUGGCUAUCCCAAUAUCCCAGUUCUGGCUAUCCCAAUAUCCCAGCUCUGGCUAUCCCAAUAUCCCAGCUCUGGCUAUCCCAAUAUCCCAGCUCUGGCUGUCCCAAUAUCCCAGCUCUGGCUGUCCCAAUAUCCCAGCUCAGCUCCCGCCCCCAUCCCCGGUGUCUGUGCCUCCAUCCGGCCCCGCUCGCUGCCGCAGCGCUCGCAGAGGGUCCCGUCCACGUCCCCCACAAUCAAGGACUGGGGGACCCCCGGGCCGGGCUCUGACAGCGCCACUUCCAGGAACUGCAGGGAGUGGAGAACUGGGGGGACACAGAGAUUUGGGGGAGCUGAGGGGGCUGAAAGUGAGAGUUUGGGGUUCCAGGGGGUCCACAGGCCAAGGAAAAGGGGGACAUGAAGAGAUGGCAGAGCUGGGAAGGAGGUUCAGGGGCUGAGAGCCAAGGAAAGGGGGUGCAGGGACUGGGAGAGCUGGGAUGGGGUGUCCAGGGAAUCCUGUGCCCAGGAAAGGGGGUGCCAGGGCUCCUGAGUGUGAGGAAAGGAGGGGCUGGGGGCUGGGAAAGGCAGGAAUGGGGGCCCAGGGGUCCCAGGUCAGGGAAAAGGGUGGGGCUGGGGGUUGGGAGAGGUGUGGGAUGGGAACAUGUUGAGUUGGUGCCGGAUAAGGGGGUGCAGGGGGGUCUCAGUGCCGGGCAAAGGGGUAAAAGGGUGUCUUGGUUCUCAGGAAUGGGGGUGCAGGGGGGUCUCAGGGUCACGGAAAUGGGGGGGCAGGGAUGGAGAGGUAGAAGGGAGUUCCAGGGGUCCUUGAGCCCAGGAAAGGGGAGUCCAGGGUUUCCCAAAAAGGGGUACCAGGGUGGGGACACCCGGGGUGUUUGGGAAGGGGGAGUUCAGAGGGUCUCUGGUUUUGCACAAAGGUGGGGCUGGGGGCUGGGAAAGGCAGCAAUGGGGGUCCAAGGUGUUCCAAGGCGUUCCAGGAUCAGGCACACGGGAAAUCUAGAGGCUGGGAGCAGGGAAAAGGGGAGCAGAGGGCCCUGAUGUCCGGAAAUGGGGGAUUCAGGGGGGUCCCUGUGCAGGAUAAGGGGAGCAGGGGGGGUCCCGGUGCCGGCAAUGGCGAUUCAGGGUCCCGGUGCCGGGGUCCCACUCCCCCCUCGCCCGCCAGGAGCGCCCCCAGCCCCAGCGCUGGAGCCACCGCGCUGCUCCUCCUCACUCCCAGUAUGAUCCCAGUAUGAUCCCAGUAGGAUCAGUCACCCAGGAGCUGCUCCCAGUAUGAUCCCAGUACCUGGCAUCCCCCCACCCCUCUCUGCGUUCCGACCUGUCCCGGCUCCAUCCCCGCC